GGAGCGUUCUGUAAGCCUGCGAAGGUGUGCUGUGAGGCAUGCUGGAGGUAUCAGAAGUGCGAAUGCUGACAUAAGUAACGAUAAAGCGGGUGAAAAGCCCGCUCGCCGGAAGACCAAGGGUUCCUGUCCAACGUUAAUCGGGGCAGGGUGAGUCGACCCCUAAGGCGAGGCCGAAAGGCGUAGUCGAUGGGAAACAGGUUAAUAUUCCUGUACUUGGUGUUACUGCGAAGGGGGGACGGAGAAGGCUAUGUUGGCCGGGCGACGGUUGUCCCGGUUUAAGCGUGUAGGCUGGUUUUCCAGGCAAAUCCGGAAAAUCAAGGCUGAGGCGUGAUGACGAGGCACUACGGUGCUGAAGCAACAAAUGCCCUGCUUCCAGGAAAAGCCUCUAAGCAUCAGGUAACAUCAAAUCGUACCCCAAACCGACACAGGUGGUCAGGUAGAGAAUACCAAGGCGCUUGAGAGAACUCGGGUGAAGGAACUAGGCAAAAUGGUGCCGUAACUUCGGGAGAAGGCACGCUGAUAUGUAGGUGAAGUCCCUUGCGGAUGGAGCUGAAAUC
This 557-nucleotide ribosomal RNA is filed under the name Shigella sonnei. RNAcentral's name for it is "partial 23S ribosomal RNA". It matches the Rfam family "Bacterial large subunit ribosomal RNA", at positions 1233 to 1784 of the family's 2925-position model. The record is from RNAcentral. Lineage: Bacteria; Pseudomonadati; Pseudomonadota; Gammaproteobacteria; Enterobacterales; Enterobacteriaceae.